AUUGAACGCUGGCGGCAGGCCUAACACAUGCAAGUCGAACGGCAGCACAGUAAUAGCUUGCUGUUACGGCGGCGGAGGGGCGGACGAUGCCUGGAUACAUCGCAGUCUACGUUUUCUUACGUGAGAACGUAGGCGAUCUUACCCUAAUACCGCAGACGGCCUACGGGUGAAAGCUUGGGAUCUUCCGACCUUGCGCGAGUGUAUGAGCCGAGGUCGGAUUAGCUAGUUGGCGGGGUAAAGGCCCACCAAGGCGACGAUCCGUAGCUGGUCUGAGAGGAUGAUCAGCCACACUGGAACUGAGACACGGUCCAGACUCCUACGGGAGGCAGCAGUGGGGAAUAUUGGACAAUGGGCGAAAGCCUGAUCCAGCCAUGCCGCGUGGGUGAAGAAGGUCUUCGGGUUGUAAAGCCCUUUUGUUGGGAAAGAAAAGCAGCAGGUUAAUACCUCGCUGUUUUGACGGUACCAAAAGAAUAAGCACCGGCUAACUUCGUG
Molecule: ribosomal RNA, 492 nt
Filed under: uncultured bacterium
Lineage: Bacteria
Description: partial 16S ribosomal RNA
Rfam family: Bacterial small subunit ribosomal RNA
Source: RNAcentral